CUUGAAGGCUCCUCUUUCAACUAUUGUACUCUCCUUGUGUGCAGUGUAUGCAAUUGCAUCCCUCCUCCUCCCAUUCUUUGCCUUCAGUCUAGUACCUCAUAGGUUCUUCUGAGGAUCUUCUGAUGACACGACAAACACUAGCAUUACCUGCAGCCCUUGGCUUCCUCUCUUCCAGAAUCCUCAUUAUUAAUUCCAUCCUGAUGAAUGAGAGCACACCCAGACAUGCUUCAGCUCAGAUUGUAUAAAAAGAGAAAAAGGUGCUCUACUGAGGAUUUAGAAAUCCAAAAAGAAACAUCUUACCCCAGGACCCUUCACAGGAUCACUAUCCCAGAAAACUGGUUGGUUAAUGAGUUGAGGUCAAGGAUCACAGCAGGCCUACUUCUAUCCCUGCUCAACCCCGCUUUAUCUCGGCCUCGGAGGAGACUUGGAUCCCGAGGCAGAGGAUGGUGUGCAAGGAGGGUAGAGUGGAGACAGGCGUCUCUUGAGUUGGAUGUGACCUGAUGCGACGUGCACUUGCGUCUGCCUCCAUGGAAGAUCAUUUUUCCACAUCAAGAGCGGUCAAUGUUAACCUUAUUGUUUUGUUUUUCUUCUUUUGUCAGUGGGUUUUGAGAUUAUUUUUGCAAUGACAAGCACUAUAAAAAAUUCUAGAUCAUUACCGUUUGUCUAUUGUAAUUUAUCUUGGUUUAUUAGACACUUUUAUUUGAAUGAUUGAUCUAUUUAAGUUAAUGUUUCUAACUAAGCAUCGGUGUGCAUCUGCACAGGGAAACUAAAUAGUGAGUUGAAGGGGAUGAUGCUGCUAAUUUCCUUUGGGUAGGCUUUUCAAUUCAUUUACAAAAUGAAUGCAUCCAUAAGAAAAAAUAUGCUGAAAAAAUAUACUGUCUUGUAAAAAAGCAGGAUGACAUCAUUAGAAUUGUAUAUAUAUAUUUAUAAACUUGGUUCAAGCCCUGAAUGCUGCUUGGCUGACAGCCGUGGUAUAUCAGACCCUAUACCAUUGGUAUGACAAAACAUUUAUUUUUACUGCUCUAAUUAUGUUGGUAACCAGUUCAUAAUAGCAUGAAGGCACCUAGGGCAUUUGUGGUAUAUGGCCAAUAUCCAGGCACUCCGCGUUGCAUCGAGAUUAGAACAGCCCUUGGCCGUGGUAUUUUGACCAUAAACCACACCCCCUCGUGCCUUAUUGCUUAAAUAUCAAAGUCAAUAACUAAGAAGAUAGCACUAAGCCCACACAUAUCCAACAUUUAUCCAAUCUCGGGAAUUCUAAAACCAUUAUUCCAAUCAUAUCAAAAACAGACACUCGGAGGAAACUUCGACCGCAAACACUCUGAAAUGCAAAGCAGGCCUACAUCUCAAAACAAGUGCCACAAGUGUCAACGUUUGACAUCGAGUUACAGACAUUGUUUUGACUGUACACUAUACUGUAUUUACACAGACAACAAAGACCGAAUAAAUAUUCAAAGGUAGCACAUCUCUGAAUUUGACAAAUCACGCCUGAAGUAGCUGUCCUCCGCAGGCAAGGCGUAUACAUAGUCUGAUGUGCCAUAAGGUGCGUAUUCUGGAGUGGAGACGCUCUCCUGGAGGUUGCAGUUCUGGUAGUGGUAGUGCUCUGGAACAAACCCAUAACUCAAGUCCAGCCUCGUCGGAGAGUUGUAACACGACGAAGAGUAAGACUCCUGUGGCGAAUAACUAUUGUAAUCGACCGGACUUGACAUAUUCAGGGAACCUGAUGGUGAGCUGGGAGCCUGAAAAACAAGCCAGAUGAGAUGUGCAUUACUAUUGUAGUACAGUAUAACGAAACCAUUUCCUAUUCCAAGCCAAAUCUCUGAAUGAACAAACAGCCUGAGCUUUGACAAAUAUUUCAUAUGACCGUGCGUAAUUGCAAAGACAGGAGAUUGCACAACUGAAUUUGAAUAAAGCAUACCAUGCCAUGGCCGUAAUAGCCCAUAUUCGGGGAGUGAUUUUCCUGGCGCCAAAGUGUUGUUGAGGUAGCGGGAUGCAGAAUACCACUGCUGUAGGUCUCGUUGGGGAUCAUCAUGCUUAUCAAGUGUUGAUUAUCGAAGCUGUCCUUCUGGACGUUGCUCUCUGGAAUGGACCGCGGCUGAAAGAUGCAGUUGGAAUUCAUCUCUUCAGGGAAAUAAUCAAAGUAAUGGCCUUUAGGAAUGAACGAGAAGGAUCAGUCAGAGGGUGCAUACAUAAACACAUGCAGGGAGACAUGUAAAUAAGUGAAGACUCCAGAAGUGAUGUCACAGCACCACCAGCCAACAGCUAAAAAACACAUUUGAAUGCAAGUUUAUAAAAAGGUCCCAGUACACUGCACUUUAGGAAUGUGGGUCAGUGUCAAUUGUAUACAAAGAUAUAUGUUCCAACUAUUCUGCUGUGGUCGUUGAUUCUCCAUGUUUGGAUACAGUCAAGAUAAAAAACAUUUUUUACGAUAGAACAUUGAUUCUGGACCUUCCAUGGUGAUGCUUUGUCGUACAACGAUUUUGGGAUCAAGAGAAUGUCAGACAAUGGAACGCUGUAGCGAAAUUCUGAUUUAUUUGGACAUAUUUGAACUUACCUGACAAGGAGGAGGAGACGCAGACAUCCUGACUCACCAAGCUUUGGGAUUUCUAUUCAUUUAGGAAAAUAAAUAAGAAAGAGAGACAGAGAGAAAAUAUAAGUCCCCAUUCAUUUGCAACAGUUCGAUUUUUUGGCUGGUUAUUUUUCAUCCCCUUGAAAGCUACUUGUUACCUUCAAAUAACAAGUAGUCUACCACCCACUGUAUAGCACAAUAAUGGCAUUUGUUUUUUAGUUUUUUUUCUUCUUCUUCAUUUUGGAGGGUUGUGUGUGUGUGUG
This 2829-nucleotide long non-coding RNA is filed under the name Salmo salar (Atlantic salmon). RNAcentral describes it as "lncRNA (ENSSSAG00000089200.1)". Lineage: Eukaryota; Metazoa; Chordata; Actinopteri; Salmoniformes; Salmonidae. The record is from RNAcentral.